UCUUUCUCCCCCUCUCCCUUUGCCUCCCCCUCUUCUCCGCAGCGGAGCUUGCUCCAGACCCUGGCGUUGUGUACCUCUUUCGUUUUUCCAACCACGGAAAUCGGUGAACCGAUCGGUGCGCUUUGAUUUUUGGUAUGGGGAUAGGUUGCGUUUAUCUGUAGUUUUGCCGCAGAUCUAGCAUACGUGAACCAGGAAACCACAGACAACUUAGACAAAAGAAACCUCGCGGUGUGAAUCUAGAUACGCGGACCCGUAUUCUUUCUGCUACUGUCGUUUGUCUUCGAACCAAACCGACCCUUCCUCGCGCAAUAAUUUCCUCCUGUUUGGAGAGGAAGGGUGUUAGCUUUUAAAGUGAAAUCUCACCAGUUCGUAUACUUUGUGGUUCGUAACGUGUUGCUCUAGCUUAUCACCCACUUUAUCAAAUUACUGAUAUCUAAAACAAAAGGACAAUCUGUAAAGUGCUGCGGUCAAUAGCGUCUCUGUGCAAUGCCCCAGUUGUUAAAUUGGAGCCCAGAUGGGGAAUAAACAAAACCGUAAUCUAUAGCACGUACUUUUAAGGAAGCAGAUCGCACGUUUAUUUAAAAUAACGCAUAGGGCAGAUUCUUCUCACGGAUUUCUCAUCUCAAAAGUACGAUAUAGCCACAGUUUCUUUGUCCCUUCUGUUUUAAACUGUAAGCCACAACGAAAAACCCUUAGCACUAGCUUUGACUGAAGCGGAAGAGGACUGUUUCGAGACGGGAUUCUGGAUUUACCCGCUGGUGGAGACAGACUGUGCGUGCGUUAGUGAGCAGAGCAGAGUAGAGGAGCGCUCACUGAGACCACCUCCCGCCGGCUUGCUGCCAUGCACCUAACCGUCUGACUGUCUCGGCAUCCGGGCAGGUCAUGUGACUGCAGAUAGGGUGUGGUCUCUUGCAUUCCAGCCUUCUCCUUCUGCCACUUCACGGACCAAGGGGAGUGAGAGAAAAAGAGAGGAUGGGGGACAGAAGGAAAGUGUGUGUGUGACAGGGUCCUUUCAUUGGUACUUAGUAGCAACUACAUGACUA
Molecule: long non-coding RNA, 1043 nt
Organism: Esox lucius (northern pike)
Lineage: Eukaryota; Metazoa; Chordata; Actinopteri; Esociformes; Esocidae
Source: Ensembl